AAAUUAUGAAAUGAUAAUAGAAAAGUGGUUUAAGUUAAUCGUGAAAGAUGUCAACGCAGGCGUAAAUGCAGUUUGUUUUGUUACAUGAUCUACGGCUAUUUCAUUACCAAAGCUCCUGAUAACAGAUCAAAGCAGAUGGAUCGGGCAUACAGAGUCGCCGUUUAACUUAUAAUAUCUUCGUGAUCGGCAAACACAUCAAACAGCAUGUUUUUUUUUCAACAGC
Anopheles merus is the source of this 223-nucleotide long non-coding RNA. RefSeq lists it as uncharacterized. The record is from RefSeq and is a predicted model, not a curated record. The transcript is spliced from 3 exons. Lineage: Eukaryota; Metazoa; Arthropoda; Insecta; Diptera; Culicidae.